Molecule: long non-coding RNA, 559 nt
Organism: Carassius carassius (crucian carp)
Lineage: Eukaryota; Metazoa; Chordata; Actinopteri; Cypriniformes; Cyprinidae
Exons: 2
Source: RefSeq, a predicted model, not a curated record
AGGUGAAAAUCUGGAAAAGCAAGAGACAGCAAAAGACUUACUGUCCAGGAGAAACUUUUGUGAUCUUUACAGAGAAAGGAAAUGUGCUUCCCAAUAGUGAGAAGAUAUUAAGAGGCCGUCCAUAAAGCUGGCGGCUUUGUUUUCCGUCUGUGAUCAAUGUACCAAGAUUGUAGUCACACCGUCCCAGUCCUUGUGCCACAGAUGUCAUGGUCCGACUGUAAUCCCAUUUCUGAAAGAGGAUUUCUCACCCAUCAAAUUACUGUUCCCCAGCACGCUUUCAUCUCUGAAUGCAUCCAGUCAGAAAGAUAUCUCUGACCUGCUGAUAGAAUAUUGUGGCCUCUUCACUGUAGGAAGUUAUGCAUUUAGAUAGAGAACAUAUCUUCUGGAAAUACGACUGCAAUCACGGUGAAGUAAAUAUUUUGUUCCACUUUGCAUGAAACAGGAUUCAGGUGAAGAGGACCUUUCAGAUGACAUUUUCAAAUGAUUGUUGCUCAUCUACAUCUUUUAUUCUUGAGCUUGGGAAAGGCGCUUUAUAAAUAAAACAUUAUUAUUAUGAUAA